AAACAUCUUGAUGAUCUUGGCUUUUCUUCGUUUUCUUCCUCAAACUGUUGACUUGCCGUGUCUGCGGACCAAUGCUCACUUAACAGGAAUAAAACGGAUUGAUCUAUUUCAUCUUGAAGUGUGUUAAUAGGAAUAUAUCCAGCAACCUGCCUGAAGUUUUGCCAGAACAACUGCAACAUUGGACCACAUGCAUUGGAACCUUAUUAUUUAAGGACUACCAAUGGGGAAGGGCUGUAUUUAAUUGUUGCUGUUAACUAUCUUGGUACCAGUUAUGCCAACAUUUACCUACAGCAGAGGCCCUGCCGACUUUAAACAAUCAUAGCUGCAUUGAGUGUAGCGGGCACAGGCUGCGCAUACAGCUGUCAAUGUGACAUCUUUUGUAACUUUUGAUUCUCCCAGAGAGCCAGCACAGCUCCAUGACACACAC
Long non-coding RNA from Mya arenaria, 427 nucleotides. RefSeq lists it as uncharacterized. The transcript is spliced from 4 exons. The record is from RefSeq and is a predicted model, not a curated record. Lineage: Eukaryota; Metazoa; Mollusca; Bivalvia; Myida; Myidae.